RNAcentral lists this ribosomal RNA (301 nucleotides) under uncultured bacterium. RNAcentral's name for it is "partial 16S ribosomal RNA". It matches the Rfam family "Bacterial small subunit ribosomal RNA", at positions 509 to 807 of the family's 1533-position model. The record is from RNAcentral.
CAGCAGCCGCGGUAAUACAGAGGGUGCAAGCGUUAAUCGGAAUUACUGGGCGUAAAGCGUGCGUAGGCGGCUAAUUGAGUCGGAUGUGAAAUCCCCGAGCUUAACUUGGGAAUUGCAUUCGAUACUGGUUAGCUAGAGUGUGGGAGAGGAUGGUAGAAUUCCAGGUGUAGCGGUGAAAUGCGUAGAGAUCUGGAGGAAUACCGAUGGCGAAGGCAGCCAUCUGGCCUAACACUGACGCUGAGGUACGAAAGCAUGGGGAGCAAACAGGAUUAGAUACCCCCGUAGUCCCUGUCUCUUAUAC